This 317-nucleotide ribosomal RNA is filed under the name uncultured Nucleocercomonas. RNAcentral's name for it is "SSU rRNA". The stretch from base 58 to 317 matches the Rfam family "Eukaryotic small subunit ribosomal RNA", at positions 694 to 955 of the family's 1831-position model. Lineage: Eukaryota; Cercozoa; Cercomonadida; Cercomonadidae. The record is from RNAcentral.
AAUUUCUGGUAUGGUGCGCCCGGCCGAUGGGGGCAACUCUGUCAGUGCUGGUGUGCGCCUGCCUUUUAUGGAAGCUGUACACGCACUUCACUGUGUGGGUAAAGUUCUCCAUCUUUUACUUUGAAAAAAUUAGAGUGUUUAAAGCAAGCAAUCGCUAUGAAUAUAUUAGCAUGGAAUAAUAAUUUAGGACUUUGUUUCUAUUUUAUUGGUUCUGAGAGACGAAGUAAUGAUUGAUAGGGAUAGUUGGGGGUGCUAGUAUUCAUCGGCCAGAGGUGAAAUUCUUGGAUUCGAUGAAGACUAACUAAUGCGAAAGCAUU